CGGGCUGUGGCGCAGUUUGGUAGCGCACCUGCUUUGGGAGCAGGGGGCCGCGGGUUCAAAUCCCGCCAGCCCGACC
This 76-nucleotide transfer RNA is filed under the name Actinomyces viscosus. RNAcentral describes it as "tRNA-Pro(tgg)". It matches the Rfam family "tRNA". Rfam says of the family: Transfer RNA (tRNA) molecules are approximately 80 nucleotides in length. Their secondary structure includes four short double-helical elements and three loops (D, anti-codon, and T loops). Lineage: Bacteria; Bacillati; Actinomycetota; Actinomycetes; Actinomycetales; Actinomycetaceae. RNAcentral also lists the same sequence under 1 other name. The record is from RNAcentral.